AUGCAUUCGACUUCGAAGGUGCGAAAGUGAAAAUGAGGAUUCAAGGUUUCUUGAAAUGGCAGUCACCUUUUUUUUUUGAGGAUUUAAUGACCUCUUUUUGAUUGAUUUUCUUCAUCCCUGAUUUUUCCUGGACCGCUUCUUUGAAGCUUUCGGUCCAUCGGGAUGCCCUGACUUUUGCCUAAGUCAUUUUGUGGUGUUUGACUUAGCAGACUUUUUUCUGUGUUUUUUUUUACGUGUUGACUGCCAGGUUAUUGGUGGAUGAGGA
This 265-nucleotide long non-coding RNA is filed under the name Lathyrus oleraceus (garden pea). Its description in RNAcentral is "Pisum sativum (pea) long non-coding RNA (PSAT_LNC012119)". The record is from RNAcentral. Lineage: Eukaryota; Viridiplantae; Streptophyta; Magnoliopsida; Fabales; Fabaceae.